CCCUUAGACGUUCUGGGCCGCACGCGCGCUACACUGACCAGUGCAACAAGCAUCCGUCCUUGGCCGACAGGCCCGGGCAAUCUUUGAACGCUGGUCGUGAUGGGGAUAGACUUUUGCAAUUUUUGGUCUUCAACGAGGAAUUCCUAGUAAACGCAAGUCAUCAACUUGCAUUGAUUACGUCCCUGCCCUUUGUACACACCGCCCGUCGCACCUACCGAUUGAAUGGUCCGGUGAAGCCUCCGGAUUGGCGCGCACCUCGGUGCCGCCGAGAAGUUGGCUAAACCUUACCAUUUAGAGGAAGGUGAANUCGUAGCA
This 315-nucleotide ribosomal RNA is filed under the name uncultured eukaryote. RNAcentral's name for it is "partial 18S ribosomal RNA". It matches the Rfam family "Eukaryotic small subunit ribosomal RNA", at positions 1470 to 1796 of the family's 1831-position model. The record is from RNAcentral.